Molecule: transfer RNA, 71 nt
Filed under: Candidatus Woesebacteria bacterium
Lineage: Bacteria; Candidatus Woeseibacteriota
Description: tRNA-Trp
Rfam family: tRNA
About the family: Transfer RNA (tRNA) molecules are approximately 80 nucleotides in length. Their secondary structure includes four short double-helical elements and three loops (D, anti-codon, and T loops). Further hydrogen bonds mediate the characteristic L-shaped molecular structure. tRNAs have two regions of fundamental functional importance: the anti-codon, which is responsible for specific mRNA codon recognition, and the 3' end, to which the tRNAs corresponding amino acid is attached (by aminoacyl-tRNA synthetases). tRNAs cope with the degeneracy of the genetic code in two manners: having more than one tRNA (with a specific anti-codon) for a particular amino acid; and 'wobble' base-pairing, i.e. permitting non-standard base-pairing at the 3rd anti-codon position.
Source: RNAcentral
AGGCUCGUAGUUAAACGGUAUAACAGAGGUCUCCAAAACCUCUAUUAGGGGUUCGAUUCCCUUCGAGCCUG